UUCCGGGAGGACAAGGGCUGCAACCGGAUCGGCUUUUCUUGAGAACAGCCGAUUAUAUUGUGCAUUUGAAUUUGCAACUUAAUGUUUUGCAAGCUCUUUCCAAGAUUUAUCAACUUUCAUGAAUUUACUUAACUCUCUCUCUCUCUCUCUCUCUCUCUCUAUACACACACACACACACACACAUAUAUGUAUUAAUUAGAAAUUAACAUGUGGCUUAUCUUAUGUACGUGUCAGAUGGCAUACGUACGUCUUCUUUUAUUAUAUGAAAAUUAUGAGGUCUUCUCUCGUUAAUAUGAUUAAUAUGAUGUUUGUAGUUA
This 317-nucleotide long non-coding RNA is filed under the name Citrus sinensis (sweet orange). Its description in RNAcentral is "long non-coding RNA (CSIN_LNC002854)". Lineage: Eukaryota; Viridiplantae; Streptophyta; Magnoliopsida; Sapindales; Rutaceae. The record is from RNAcentral.